This 1102-nucleotide ribosomal RNA is filed under the name Bacillus amyloliquefaciens. RNAcentral's name for it is "bacterial SSU rRNA". It matches the Rfam family "Bacterial small subunit ribosomal RNA", at positions 60 to 1149 of the family's 1533-position model. The record is from RNAcentral. Lineage: Bacteria; Bacillati; Bacillota; Bacilli; Caryophanales; Bacillaceae.
CGCAGGACUGAUGGGGUGCUCUGCUCCCUGAUGUUAGCGGCGGACGGGUGAGUAACACGUGGGUAACCUGCCUGUAAGACUGGGAUAACUCCGGGAAACCGGGGCUAAUACCGGAUGGUUGUCUGAACCGCAUGGUUCAGACAUAAAAGGUGGCUUCGGCUACCACUUACAGAUGGACCCGCGGCGCAUUAGCUAGUUGGUGAGGUAACGGCUCACCAAGGCGACGAUGCGUAGCCGACCUGAGAGGGUGAUCGGCCACACUGGGACUGAGACACGGCCCAGACUCCUACGGGAGGCAGCAGUAGGGAAUCUUCCGCAAUGGACGAAAGUCUGACGGAGCAACGCCGCGUGAGUGAUGAAGGUUUUCGGAUCGUAAAGCUCUGUUGUUAGGGAAGAACAAGUGCCGUUCAAAUAGGGCGGCACCUUGACGGUACCUAACCAGAAAGCCACGGCUAACUACGUGCCAGCAGCCGCGGUAAUACGUAGGUGGCAAGCGUUGUCCGGAAUUAUUGGGCGUAAAGGGCUCGCAGGCGGUUUCUUAAGUCUGAUGUGAAAGCCCCCGGCUCAACCGGGGAGGGUCAUUGGAAACUGGGGAACUUGAGUGCAGAAGAGGAGAGUGGAAUUCCACGUGUAGCGGUGAAAUGCGUAGAGAUGUGGAGGAACACCAGUGGCGAAGGCGACUCUCUGGUCUGUAACUGACGCUGAGGAGCGAAAGCGUGGGGAGCGAACAGGAUUAGAUACCCUGGUAGUCCACGCCGUAAACGAUGAGUGCUAAGUGUUAGGGGGUUUCCGCCCCUUAGUGCUGCAGCUAACGCAUUAAGCACUCCGCCUGGGGAGUACGGUCGCAAGACUGAAACUCAAAGGAAUUGACGGGGGCCCGCACAAGCGGUGGAGCAUGUGGUUUAAUUCGAAGCAACGCGAAGAACCUUACCAGGUCUUGACAUCCUCUGACAAUCCUAGAGAUAGGACGUCCCCUUCGGGGGCAAAAUGACAGGUGGUGCAUGGUUGUCGUCACCUCCUGUCCUGAGAUGUUGGGUUAAGUCCCGCAACGACCCCACCCUUGAUCUUAGUUGCCACCAUUAGUUGGGCCCUCUAAGGGGAC